CACUCCUGCGGGAGGCAGCAGUGGGGAAUUUUGGACAAUGGGCGAAAGCCUGAUCCAGCAAUGCCGCGUGAGUGAAGAAGGCCUUCGGGUUGUAAAGCUCUUUUGUCAGGGAAGAAACGGUGAAAGCUAAUAUCUUUUGCUAAUGACGGUACCUGAAGAAUAAGCACCGGCUAACUACGUGCCAGCAGCCGCGGUAAUACGUAGGGUGCAAGCGUUAAUCGGAAUUACUGGGCGUAAAGCGUGCGCAGGCGGUUUUGUAAGUCUGAUGUGAAAUCCCCGGGCUCAACCUGGGAAUUGCAUUGGAGACUGCAAGGCUAGAAUCUGGCAGAGGGGGGUAGAAUUCCACGUGUAGCAGUGAAAUGCGUAGAUAUGUGGAGGAACACCGAUGGCGAAGGCAGCCCCCUGGGUCAAGAUUGACGCUCAUGCACGAAAGCGUGGGGAGCAAACAGGAUUAGAUACCCUAGUAGUCCC
RNAcentral lists this ribosomal RNA (471 nucleotides) under uncultured organism. RNAcentral describes it as "partial 16S ribosomal RNA". It matches the Rfam family "Bacterial small subunit ribosomal RNA", at positions 334 to 797 of the family's 1533-position model. The record is from RNAcentral.